AUUGAACGCUGGCGGCAUGCCUUACACAUGCAAGUCGAACGGCAGCACGGGGGCAACCCUGGUGGCGAGUGGCGAACGGGUGAGUAAUACAUCGGAACGUGCCCGGUAGUGGGGGAUAGCUCGGCGAAAGCCGGAUUAAUACCGCAUACGACCUACGGGUGAAAGCGGGGGACCGCAAGGCCUCGCGCUAUUGGAGCGGCCGAUGUCAGAUUAGGUUGUUGGUGGGGUAAAGGCCCACCAAGCCGACGAUCUGUAGCUGGUCUGAGAGGACGACCAGCCACACUGGGACUGAGACACGGCCCAGACUCCUACGGGAGGCAGCAGUGGGGAAUUUUGGACAAUGGGCGCAAGCCUGAUCCAGCCAUGCCGCGUGCGGGAAGAAGGCCU
RNAcentral lists this ribosomal RNA (387 nucleotides) under uncultured bacterium. RNAcentral's name for it is "bacterial SSU rRNA". It matches the Rfam family "Bacterial small subunit ribosomal RNA", at positions 29 to 417 of the family's 1533-position model. The record is from RNAcentral.